CCCUUAGAUGUUCUGGGCCGCACGCGUGCUACACUGAGUGGAUCAGCGGGUCAGGUUGCGCGAAAGUGUUUCCUAAUCUUUAAAUCCGCUCGUGAUGGGGAUUGACGGUUGCAAUUUUCCGUCAUGAACGAGGAAUACCUUGUAAGCGCGGGUCAUCAUCCCGCGCUGAAUACGUCCCUGCCCUUUGUACACACCGCCCGUCGCUCCUACCGAUUGAGUGGUCCGGUGAGGCUUUGGGAUCUGCGGAAAGAGCGUUUCGCUGUUUCUGCCCGGAAAACUCAGUCGAACCUUAUCAUUUAGAGGAAGGAGAAGUCGUAACA
RNAcentral lists this ribosomal RNA (320 nucleotides) under uncultured eukaryote. RNAcentral describes it as "partial 18S ribosomal RNA". It matches the Rfam family "Eukaryotic small subunit ribosomal RNA", at positions 1470 to 1796 of the family's 1831-position model. The record is from RNAcentral.